Passer montanus (Eurasian tree sparrow) is the source of this 917-nucleotide long non-coding RNA. RefSeq lists it as uncharacterized. The transcript has 2 exons. The record is from RefSeq and is a predicted model, not a curated record. Lineage: Eukaryota; Metazoa; Chordata; Aves; Passeriformes; Passeridae.
GGCACGGCUUGAUACGUUACCUUUGAUAUUCUGAUUUAAUUCUUUUGCAUAGAUUAGAGACCAGACAAGCUCCUAACCUGACCGGGGCGCUACCCUGUAUUGACUGCCAAUCUCUAAGUCACUCGGUGAAUGCUGUUUGCAGACUCUUAUCAGUUCAUUAAAGUUUGUUAUCGUUUAUGCAGUGGCUCUGUACCUUGCUGGUAAUCUCCAGUGCAGGAUCUUAUCAAGCACUCUUUUGAAAGUCUAGCCAUACUCUAUACCAUCCACAGUGUUUUCCUUGUCUACCUUGGCAGGGAUAGCUUUGAAAAAUUCCAACAAAUUAUUUGAGCAAGAUUUCCUGCUCGUAAAUCCAGGAGCCUGGAAGGGAGCAGGACAUCCUCGGUGUGUGCUCAGCUGCCUGGAGGUGACCUCUCAGGAGUUAACAGCAGGGAGAUCUCUGUGAUACCAAACUGCCUGAGCACAGAUUAGGCCCUGGGAGCUGCUGUGGCCUGGCCCUGGCUCUGACACCAGUUUUUCAUGACUUUGGUGAGCUCGCUGGACGGCACAUCUCGUUGGCUUUUAAUAGACUUGGAUCCCACUGUUAAAAGAGCUUCCAUGUCCUCUUCUGUAAAAUAGCUUUGGAAUGUUUUCCUGGGCUUAGGAGGAUGUGGCUGCUGGAGUGGGAGCUGUGCAGUUGAGCUAACUGCAGUAGAAACUGUGCUAAUGAGCUAUGAAGACACCCAAAAAAUGCCUCUUCUCCCCAAGAGCAAGGAAUUGUGUAGGCUUUGACUCCUUUAGUAUAAGUCCUGUUACUGCUGGCUGGAACCUCAGCCUUUGCGCAGAAGCAGCUGUUUGUCACCAACAUACCCUGAGUACCAGCUAGAAAUAAUCAUUUAAAAAGGGGUAUGUGAACUGCUUAAACCAAAUCCCAGCUGAGG